RNAcentral lists this ribosomal RNA (229 nucleotides) under uncultured bacterium. RNAcentral's name for it is "partial 16S ribosomal RNA". It matches the Rfam family "Bacterial small subunit ribosomal RNA", at positions 114 to 334 of the family's 1533-position model. The record is from RNAcentral.
UAGAUAGGAACGUGUCCGGGAGUGGGGGAUAACUAGCCGAAAGGUUAGCUAAUACCGCAUAUUCUCUACGGAGGAAAGCGGGGGAACCUGAGGGUAACUGAGGGACCUCGCGCUCGCGGAGUGGCCUAUCUCCGAUUAGCUAGUUGGUGAGGUAAAGGCUUACCAAGGCGACGAUCUAUAGCUGGUCUGAGAGGACGAUCAGCCACACUGGGACUGAGACACGGCCCAG